CAUGUAGGCGGCAUGACAAGUCUGGUGUGAAAUAUCUCGGCUCAACCGAGAAAACGCACUGGAAACUGUCAAGCUUGAGUAUCGGAGGGGAAGCUAGAAUUCCUGGUGUAGGGGUGAAAUCUGUAGAUAUCAGGAAGAAUACCGGUGGCGAAGGCGAGCUUCUGGCCAGAUACUGACGCUGAGAUGCGAAAGCGUGGGGAGCGAACAGGAUUAGAUACCCUGGUAGUCC
Molecule: ribosomal RNA, 229 nt
Filed under: uncultured bacterium
Lineage: Bacteria
Description: partial 16S ribosomal RNA
Rfam family: Bacterial small subunit ribosomal RNA
Source: RNAcentral